RNAcentral lists this ribosomal RNA (450 nucleotides) under uncultured Glomeromycotina. Its description in RNAcentral is "SSU rRNA". It matches the Rfam family "Eukaryotic small subunit ribosomal RNA", at positions 569 to 1021 of the family's 1831-position model. Lineage: Eukaryota; Fungi; Glomeromycota. The record is from RNAcentral.
AGCAGCCGCGGUAAUUCCAGCUCCAAUAGCGUAUAUUAAAGUUGUUGCAGUUAAAAAGCUCGUAGUUGAACUUCGGAAUUUAUUCAUUGGUCAGACUUAACUGUCUGUACUGGUGUUAUGAAUUCCUACCUUCUGAGGAAUUAUCAUGCCAUUUAGUUGGUGUGGUAGGGAAUCAGGACUGUUACUUUGAAAAAAUUAGAGUGUUUAAAGCAGGCUAACGUCUGAAUACAUUAGCAUGGAAUAAUAGAAUAGGACGGAUUGGUUCUAUUUUGUUGGUUUCUAGGAUCACCGUAAUGAUUAAUAGGGAUAGUUGGGGGCAUUAGUAUUCAAUUGUCAGAGGUGAAAUUCUUGGAUUUAUUGAAGACUAACUACUGCGAAAGCAUUUGCCAAGGAUGUUUUCAUUAAUCAAGAACGAAAGUUAGGGGAUCGAAGACGAUCAGAUACCGUCGU